This 488-nucleotide ribosomal RNA is filed under the name uncultured bacterium. RNAcentral describes it as "partial 16S ribosomal RNA". It matches the Rfam family "Bacterial small subunit ribosomal RNA", at positions 30 to 506 of the family's 1533-position model. The record is from RNAcentral.
UUGAACGCUGGCGGCAGGCCUAACACAUGCAAGUCGAACGGUAACAGGAAACAGCUUGCUGUUUCGCUGACGAGUGGCGGACGGGUGAGUAAUGUCUGGGAAACUGCCUGAUGGAGGGGGAUAACUACUGGAAACGGUAGCUAAUACCGCAUAACGUCGCAAGACCAAAGAGGGGGACCCUCGGGCCUCUUGCCAUCGGAUGUGCCCAGAUGGGAUUAGCUUGUUGGUGGGGUAACGGCUCACCAAGGCGACGAUCCCUAGCUGGUCUGAGAGGAUGACCAGCCACACUGGAACUGAGACACGGUCCAGACUCCUACGGGAGGCAGCAGUGGGGAAUAUUGCACAAUGGGCGCAAGCCUGAUGCAGCCAUGCCGCGUGUAUGAAGAAGGCCUUCGGGUUGUAAAGUACUUUCAGCGGGGAGGAAGGGAGUAAAGUUAAUACCUUUGCUCAUUGACGUUACCCGCAGAAGAAGCACCGGCUAACUCCGU